UGUUCGUUUUCUGUGCUGGGGUCUUGAGGACGCUGGAGGCUCUCAUUGCAUGUGGUGCCGCUUUGUAUUCUGGGUUCUCUCUUGGUUUGGCCGUGUCUUUGCCCUUCAGUGAUUGUUGUGCGUUUGUAUAUAUAUUGUUUGGGGGGCCUUUGGAGUAGCCAUGAGCGCUGCCUGUUGUAUAGAUGUGGUCUGGUUCCUUGUUUGGUCCUUCAGGUGUGCUGUUGUGGAGAGUGGCUCUUCUGAAGGGAUAUCGAGUUGCUGAGGGCUUGUGCUUGAAGGGGUCGGCGGGCCAUCUGGGGAUUGGCACGGGAUCGUGUAUGGGUUUCUUGUGUACUGCAGUGGAUGGUGUCCGAUUCUCGACUUCGAGCUGUGGGUCUGGGAAGUGUGCCUCUGUCUUGCUGGCUUGUUGUUGUUUCGGGGC
This 421-nucleotide long non-coding RNA is filed under the name Androctonus crassicauda. The record is from RNAcentral. Lineage: Eukaryota; Metazoa; Arthropoda; Arachnida; Scorpiones; Buthidae.